UACAGGGGGGGCAAGCGUUGUUCGGAAUUACUGGGCGUAAAGGGCUCGUAGGCGGCCGGCUAAGUCCGACGUGAAAUCCCCAGGCUUAACCUGGGAACUGCGUCGGAUACUGGCGGGCUUGAAUCCGGGAGAGGGAUGCGGAAUUCCAGGUGUAGCGGUGAAAUGCGUAGAUAUCUGGAGGAACACCGGUGGCGAAGGCGGCAUCCUGGACCGGCAUUGACGCUGAGAAGCGAAAGCAUGGGGAGCGAACAGG
RNAcentral lists this ribosomal RNA (253 nucleotides) under uncultured bacterium. RNAcentral describes it as "partial 16S ribosomal RNA". It matches the Rfam family "Bacterial small subunit ribosomal RNA", at positions 524 to 776 of the family's 1533-position model. The record is from RNAcentral.